This 199-nucleotide long non-coding RNA is filed under the name Populus trichocarpa (black cottonwood). Its description in RNAcentral is "long non-coding RNA (PTRI_LNC000720)". Lineage: Eukaryota; Viridiplantae; Streptophyta; Magnoliopsida; Malpighiales; Salicaceae. The record is from RNAcentral.
UCUUGCACAUUAUUUUUCUACUACUCAUAUUGCCUUCACCGUAGAAGAAUCUCUUGUUUCGUAAAGGACGAUGAAGCCUAUAACUAGGCCCAAACAUCAAGCUCUCAAUCAAGUCGACACGUCUUGACCAGGAUCGCAGCCGAUGAGAAGCCUAAUUUCUGUGUGAAGUUCCUUCAUGAAUUUAUCAAUUGUUAUUCAG